CCUACGGGUGGCAGCAGUGGGGGAUAUUGCACAAUGGGGGGAACCCUGAUGCAGCGACGCCGCGUGGGUGAAGGAGCGUUUCGGCGCGUAAAGCCCUAUCGGCAGGGAAGAAGAUGACGGUACCUGGCCAAGCAGCACCGGCUAACUACGUGCCAGCAGCCGCGGGAAUACGUAGGGGGCAAGCGUUCUCCGGCUUUACUGGGUGUAAAGGGGGCGCAGGCGGGAAUGCAAGCCAGGAGUGAAAGCCCGGGGCCCAACCCCGGGACUGCUCUUGGAACUGCAUGGCUGGAGUACAGGAGGGGCAGGCGGAAUUCCUAGUGUAGCGGUGAAAUGCGUAGAUAUUAGGAGGAACACCAGUGGCGAAGGCGGCUUACUGGACUGUAACUGACGUUGAGGCUCGAAAGCGUGGGGAGCGAACAGGAUUAGAUACCCUAGUAGUC
RNAcentral lists this ribosomal RNA (440 nucleotides) under uncultured bacterium. Its description in RNAcentral is "partial 16S ribosomal RNA". It matches the Rfam family "Bacterial small subunit ribosomal RNA", at positions 338 to 795 of the family's 1533-position model. The record is from RNAcentral.